CCCUAUUCUUUACCACACUUCACUCUCUCGACUCUUAACCUCUUCUCCUUCUCUGAAACGCGUUUUACCUCUGCCUCCACCGUCCUUGCCGCCGCCGGAGACGUCCUAGUCGGCGUCGGAGCCGUCCUUCCCGCCGUCGUCCUUCCCGCUCUUGUUUUGUGUUCCUUUGUGCACGGUUCUUGCCAUCUUAACCUCUGUUCCAUCUCUCAAAAGCUUGCUGCACCUUGUGCCUCCACCGUCCUUGCCGCCGCCUCCGUCCCUGCUGCGCCGUUGCCGCUCUUGUGUUGUGUCCCUUCGUGCACGGUUCGUUGCCCUGUCCUCAGAGUUCAAAAGCGCUCCAUUGUUCCUCUCCUCGAUCAAGCAAUUUUCUUCUUCCUCAUAAGUUUUGUUGUAUCAAACAAGCCAACAGAUGUGAAGCGUUUGAUCUGAUCCCUUGGAAAGGUAUCAAAGUGAGCACAGCUUCAAGAUAUAUUGAUUAUAUUCUGCCCUGAAUAAUGGAAUCAUAAAUCUUGUGGACGUGCUUUUACUCUUGCAAGCUUCUUUGAACGCUACAAGAACUUGGACCUUGCUAGGAAUUUUCAAUUUCCAACCUUGAGACAGAAUAGUCUUGAGACUAAGAUAGAGAAGUCAAGGAAGAAACUGAAGGAGAUAAAUAAUAGAGCUAAGAAGAUUUGUGGAGUAAACAAGGUAAUUUUCCUUUCUCAACUAAUAUCAAAUUAGAGUUACUUACCCAAGGUUGUCAGACUCGUGAGUCUAAGCAGACUCGUUUUGGGUAGGUAGACUCGACUCGUAGACUCGACGAGACUCGAGUCUACCAGAAAUGAAAAUUUACUAAGUAUAACCUUGUCACAUGAAGAAUAAAUACAAACAUAUAAUCUAAUUAUAAGAGCAUCCAAGAUUUUUUGAAGCAAAGAAGGAAGAGGAACGCGAUAGAGGUUGAAAAUAGGUUUAGUUUUAGGGAUUUUUAAUAAAUUUGGGAUUUUUUAACUUAAAAAAAAAAAAAAACUUGACUCGGUGACUCGGUCACCGAGUCAGACCGAGUCAGGCCAGAAAACGAGUCUGGCAGCGAGUCGACUCGUUUUUCCUAUGUAGACUCGCGAGUCUACCGAGUCAGCAAGUUAACUCGCGAGUCUAACAACCUUGUACUUACCAUUUGCUUGAUGUGUAUAAUGAGAUUGCUUAGUUUUGUAUUCUAUAAACCUUCUGUGAAACUGAUUUUCACGUCCUUUUCUUCUUUUGAUCACACUUUGUCCUAGUCUUCAAUAGCAACCCUAGGAUAAAUCCAGCACACCUCUUACAGUUUUUGAAUUGAUUAUGUUAGUUAGUACUUCUUUGGUUGAGAUUGGAUAUUACACAUGAGAGAUUAAAUUCUAGCCUUGCUCUAAUAAUUGUUUCUACCUUGUUAGAAUAAAAGAGAUGAUAAUUAAUACUGGUAUAUCCAGUUUAAUAUUGGUAAAGAAAAUAGUUCAUUUGAUUGCUUCAAUUGCAAUUGGCAGCAAAACAUGAGUACUCACAUUGGAGUGAAAGAGAAAAUCAAUAGUAGCCUUAGACUAUGUUUACAUACGCACAGUACUCUUUUUAUGAUUGGAGCACUAAUCCAAGGUACUGCCUAAGCAAUCUAUGAGACCAUAAUUGAAUAGCUGAAUGUUGAUUGUCAAGUCCGUGGUUUUGCUACUCUCCUUUUAUUAUUUGAUGCCUUAUCUUUCAUGCUUUCGUCUAACUUUUUUUGUUAAUUGUUGUUCAUAAUUAGUUUGGUAGAUUGGGAUAAUAUGGAUCGAAAAUGGAUGUUUGCGAACCGUGGUGGAACCGCUGUAAUAUAUAUUAUCAAAUACAGACAAAAAAAAAACAAAUUACUGCGGUUCCGUGGUGGAACCGCUGUAAUAUAUAUUAUCAAAUACAGCGGUUACCGGCUGAAACCGCUGUAAAAGAAGACUCAAGUAGAGCGGUUAUUCUAGAGAACAGCUGUUGUAGGUCUAUAUUUACAGCGGUUUUAUUAAAUCAACCGCUGUAAAUAAUGCAUCUUUUACAGCGGUUAGAACCGCUGUUAAGGCUUUUACAGCGGCGAGAUCUACAGCGGUUCUGGACCACUGAAAACCGCUGUAAAAGGCCAAAAAAAACCGCUGUAAAAGCCAUUUUUUUGGUGUAGUGGGACUCCGUUAGUUGAUGUGUCUAAUACAAUAUCAAACUUCGUCGUGCAGCGCACGGGAAAAAGCACGGGAAUGAACAUUUUACAAUCAACUACAUUAAAUUUUUUAUUCUUAGAAUAA
RNA transcript from Lotus japonicus, 2267 nucleotides. RefSeq lists it as uncharacterized. The transcript is spliced from 5 exons. The record is from RefSeq and is a predicted model, not a curated record. Lineage: Eukaryota; Viridiplantae; Streptophyta; Magnoliopsida; Fabales; Fabaceae.